This 253-nucleotide ribosomal RNA is filed under the name uncultured bacterium. Its description in RNAcentral is "partial 16S ribosomal RNA". It matches the Rfam family "Bacterial small subunit ribosomal RNA", at positions 524 to 776 of the family's 1533-position model. The record is from RNAcentral.
UACGUAGGUGGCAAGCGUUGUCCGGAUUUACUGGGUGUAAAGGGCGUGUAGCCGGGCUUACAAGUCAGAUGUGAAAUCCGGGGGCUCAACCCCCGAACUGCAUUUGAAACUGUAGGUCUUGAAUAUCGGAGAGGCAGGCGGAAUUCCUAGUGUAGCGGUGAAAUGCGUAGAUAUUAGGAGGAACACCAGUGGCGAAGGCGGCCUGCUGGACGACAACUGACGGUGAGGCGCGAAAGCGUGGGGAGCAAACAGG